RNAcentral lists this ribosomal RNA (435 nucleotides) under uncultured bacterium. RNAcentral's name for it is "partial 16S ribosomal RNA". It matches the Rfam family "Bacterial small subunit ribosomal RNA", at positions 29 to 507 of the family's 1533-position model. The record is from RNAcentral.
AGCGAACGCUGGCGGCAGGCUUAACACAUGCAAGUCGAGCGGGCACUUUCGGGUGUCAGCGGCGGACGGGUGAGUAACGCGUGGGAACGUGCCCUCUGGUUCGGAAUAACUCAGGGAAACUUGAGCUAAUACCGGAUACGCCCUUUUGGGGAAAGGCUUGCUGCCGGAGGAUCGGCCCGCGUCUGAUUAGCUAGUUGGUGAGGUAACGGCUCACCAAGGCGACGAUCAGUAGCUGGUCUGAGAGGAUGAUCAGCCACACUGGGACUGAGACACGGCCCAGACUCCUACGGGAGGCAGAAGUGGGGAAUAUUGGACAAUGGGCGCAAGCCUGAUCCAGCCAUGCCGCGUGAGUGAUGAAGGCCUUAGGGUUGUAAAGCUCUUUUAUCCGGGACGAUAAUGACGGUACCGGAGGAAUAAGCCCCGGCUAACUUCGUG